AGUGAACGCUGGCGGUAGGCCUAACACAUGCAAGUCGAACGGCAGCACAGUAAGAGCUUGCUCUUACGGGUGGCGAGUGGCGGACGGGUGAGGAAUACAUCGGAAUCUACUUUUUCGUGGGGGAUACGUAGGGAAACUUACGCUAAUACCGCAUACAACCUACGGGUGAAAGCAGGGGAUCUUCGGACCUUGCGCGAUUGAAUGAGCCGAUGUCGGAUUAGCUAGUUGGCGGGGUAAAGGCCCACCAAGGCGACGAUCCGUAGCUGGUCUGAGAGGAUGAUCAGCCACACUGGAACUGAGACACGGUCCAGACUCCUACGGGAGGCAGCAGUGGGGAAUAUUGGACAAUGGGCGCAAGCCUGAUCCAGCCAUACCGCGUGGGUGAAGAAGGCCUUCGGGUUGUAAAGCCCUUUUGUUGGGAAAGAAAAGCAGCAGGUUAAUACCCCGCUGUUCUGACGGUACCCAAAGAAUAAGCACCGGCUAACUUCGUG
RNAcentral lists this ribosomal RNA (491 nucleotides) under uncultured bacterium. Its description in RNAcentral is "partial 16S ribosomal RNA". It matches the Rfam family "Bacterial small subunit ribosomal RNA", at positions 29 to 507 of the family's 1533-position model. The record is from RNAcentral.